GACGAACGCUGGCGGCGUGCUUAACACAUGCAAGUCGAACGAAGUGGCGAACGGGUGAGUAAAGCGUAAUCAACCUGCCCUUCAGAGGGGGACAACAGUGGGAAACGACUGAUAAUACAGCAUACUGCAGGAGGGGGUUGCGUCUGAUUAGCUAGUUGGAGGGGUGACGGCCCACCAAGGCGAUGAUAAGUAGCCGGUCUGAGAGGAUGAACGGCCAAAUUGGGACUGAGACACGGCCCAGACUCCUACGGGAGGCAGCAGUGGGGAAUCUUCCGCAAUGGACGAAAGUCUGACGGAGCAACGCCGCGGGAGUGAUGACGGCCUUCGGGUUGUAAAGCUCUGUUAAUCGGGACGCGGUACCGGAAUAGAAAGCCACGGCUAACUACGUGCCAGCAGCCGCGGUAAUAC
Molecule: ribosomal RNA, 408 nt
Filed under: uncultured bacterium
Lineage: Bacteria
Description: partial 16S ribosomal RNA
Rfam family: Bacterial small subunit ribosomal RNA
Source: RNAcentral